Molecule: long non-coding RNA, 1083 nt
Organism: Maylandia zebra (zebra mbuna)
Lineage: Eukaryota; Metazoa; Chordata; Actinopteri; Cichliformes; Cichlidae
Source: RefSeq, a predicted model, not a curated record
CCAAGCUCCUGGAGCACUGAUGAGGGCGACAGAGAGGAGGAGAAGAAGAGCGGGAGGAAAAAAGAAGGAGAUGAGUAAAGAAGAAAGUGAGUGAGAAAGUGAAUAAAGAGUUUCUAAAUGGAAAGUAAGAGAGUAAGAGAAAGAUGAGAAGAAAGAAGAGGAACGUAGUAGAAAAAGAGGCAGGAAGUAUGAAGAUAUAGCACGGGAAGAUAAACACUAUAGAAACAAAAAAGAGUGUUCAGGAAGCAGAGGAGGGAGUUUUGAGUGAUAGCGAACAUACUGUAGAUGAAAGCUGUCGGAGGAGUGGGACGCUGAGAAGCGUCAGCAUUGUCAGAGCAUGUUCAGCCCUCAGGGACAGCCAGGGGCCGGCCGUCAGCCUUUAUUUGGAGAGCAGAAGCUUUUCCACACUACCUGAAAUCAGCUGAGAGGUUAAGUCGUGGUGUGUGCAAGCUGCCAGCAUCAGAUCAUCGUCCUCAAAGUGUGGGGGCAAGAAGGAAAGAUGUUGGGUGCCCCCCGGUGGAGACUGUUUACUGUGUGCAAAGUGCUCUCCGCUCUCCUUUCAGUGUUUGUUAGUUAAUCACCAUCUGCUGCUGCUGCAGUUAGUUGUAUAGCAAGAGUGGAGAGGAAAGGUGAGUAUUCUCAGUCAACCAGCUUCUCAUACAAAUAAAUGGUUUUAAUGGCUCCACAGUGUGAUGAACAAAAAAGCUUCAAAAAUACUGGUUGACAGUUUGACUUGGUCCUGUCACUGAAGAUUAGCUUCCAUUAGCUACUACAGCACUGAUGGGUGGGGAGGGUCAGCUGGUGUUGUGAAUCAGGCCGCUGAAGUGUCACGCACGGCUUUUUCACAACACCAGGGUUCCUCCCUACUACUUCCUGCUAGGACACAUCCACCACAUGUCUCUGCACAAUGCUGUACAUUAGAAUACAGCAAAACACAAAGUGUAAAUGUACGAGUUACUAACAAGUUUUUAAGGAAUGUCAUUUCAUUGUUAAACAGUAAAUAACUAUUAACUUGUGACUUAUUACCAAUAGUAUCGUGUUACCUACCAGCUUUGGAACAGUUUGCUAUUAUCACUAUCAUCU